CACCAGACGGCUGGCGACAGGAGGGCCGGGAGAGCGAGGGACUGGCCGAGACGGCAGAGAGCCUGAGAAGGAGACGGAGAGACAGAGGGGCAGAGAGAAGCAGCGACAGAGACACACACAGACUGAGAAAGACGCAGCGCCGGGCCCGGGGACGCAGCGGUUAAGACCUAGAGCCCCCGAGGACGGAGUGGCUACCAGGUCCUACGAAUCCUGCGGAGCUGGACUCCGGCAGUUCACUUCAGCUGGAGAAGUAAAGGAGGGAUGCAGACGUGCCUCAAGUUCCUGAGUGCCAGCUCAGGAAGGAUGCUUUCCCUUCUCUUCCAGAAUGAGGCUCUUGUGUCUCCUUCUGAGAGAAGUGACCUAGCCACAGUGGAACAUCAGAUCCAGGACAAAUUGGAACCGUGGCCCAGAUCUCCUAAUACCAGCCAGGCUCUUCCCCACUCUUUGUGACCACCCUUCCUUUUAGGUUUUUGAUGGUUUGCUUUUUGUUUUACCACGCAUUCUUUAAGACACGCAAAACAAUAAUAAUAUUGUGUUAAUAAUAUCAUUAGUAAUACAGGGACCACCCACGUCCAGUUUAAAAACUUAAAAAAUGGAUCAAUCCAGGUGAAGUCCCCUAUAUAGUCCUCCCUACUCCCCCAAGAAGUAACCACUCUCCUGAAUUCGGUGCGUAUCUUUCCCAUAUCUUAUUUAUACUAUCACAUACAUAUGGAUCUUUGAGCAAUGUUGGAAUUGCUUUGCAUGUGAUUGAAUUUUGAAUAAAAAGUUUCACAUUGCAA
Long non-coding RNA from Galeopterus variegatus (Sunda flying lemur), 779 nucleotides. RefSeq lists it as uncharacterized. The transcript is spliced from 2 exons. The record is from RefSeq and is a predicted model, not a curated record. NCBI's taxonomy places the organism in Eukaryota, Metazoa, Chordata, Mammalia, Dermoptera, Cynocephalidae.